This 372-nucleotide ribosomal RNA is filed under the name uncultured organism. Its description in RNAcentral is "bacterial SSU rRNA". It matches the Rfam family "Bacterial small subunit ribosomal RNA", at positions 526 to 896 of the family's 1533-position model. The record is from RNAcentral.
CGUAGGGUCCAAGCGUUAUCCGGAAUCACUGGGCGUAAAGCGUGCGUAGGCGGUUUGUUAAGUGAGAUGUUAAAACGUGGGGCUCAACCCCGUCGGUGCAUCUCAUACUGGCAGACUAGAGGACGGCAGAGGCAAGUGGAAUUGGUAGUGUAGCAGUGAAAUGCGUAGAUAUUACCAGGAACACCAAUGGCGAAGGCAGCUUGCUGGGCCGACCCUGACGCUGAGGUACGAAAGCGUGGGGAGCGAACAGGAUUAGAUACCCUGGUAGUCCACGCCGUAAACGAUGCAUACUAGACGUAUGGGGUAUCGACCCCCUGUGCGUCGCAGCUAACGCGAUAAGUAUGCCGCCUGGGAAGUACGGCCGCAAGGCUA